CUUGGUCAUUUAGAGGAAGUAACAGUCGUAACAAGGUUUCCGUAGGUGAACCUGCGGAAGGAUCAUUACAGAGUGCGAGGCUCCGUCGUGGCAUCAGCUGCGUACUGGGCCGACCCUCCCACCCGUGUCGAUUUUGUAUCUUGUUGCUUUGGCGAGCCGGGCCGUGUCGUCGCUGCCCGCAUGGGCAUGCGUCGGCCGCCCACCGGUUUCGACUGGAGCGUGCCCGCCAAAGACCCAACCAAAACUCAUGUUGUUUGUGUCGUCUCAGCUUUAUUAUGAAAAUUGAUAAAACUUUCAACAACGGAUCUCUUGGCUCUGGCAUCGAUGAAGAACG
RNAcentral lists this ribosomal RNA (334 nucleotides) under Erysiphe cruciferarum. Its description in RNAcentral is "partial 18S ribosomal RNA". The stretch from base 1 to 68 matches the Rfam family "Eukaryotic small subunit ribosomal RNA", at positions 1764 to 1831 of the family's 1831-position model. The record is from RNAcentral. Lineage: Eukaryota; Fungi; Ascomycota; Leotiomycetes; Helotiales; Erysiphaceae.